This 569-nucleotide ribosomal RNA is filed under the name Fusarium oxysporum. RNAcentral's name for it is "eukaryotic LSU rRNA". It matches the Rfam family "Eukaryotic large subunit ribosomal RNA", at positions 1 to 580 of the family's 3401-position model. Lineage: Eukaryota; Fungi; Ascomycota; Sordariomycetes; Hypocreales; Nectriaceae. The record is from RNAcentral.
UUGACCUCGGAUCAGGUAGGAAUACCCGCUGAACUUAAGCAUAUCAAUAAGCGGAGGAAAAGAAACCAACAGGGAUUGCCCUAGUAACGGCGAGUGAAGCGGCAACAGCUCAAAUUUGAAAUCUGGCUCUCGGGCCCGAGUUGUAAUUUGUAGAGGAUACUUUUGAUGCGGUGCCUUCCGAGUUCCCUGGAACGGGACGCCAUAGAGGGUGAGAGCCCCGUCUGGUUGGAUGCCAAAUCUCUGUAAAGUUCCUUCAACGAGUCGAGUAGUUUGGGAAUGCUGCUCUAAAUGGGAGGUAUAUGUCUUCUAAAGCUAAAUACCGGCCAGAGACCGAUAGCGCACAAGUAGAGUGAUCGAAAGAUGAAAAGCACUUUGAAAAGAGAGUUAAAAAGUACGUGAAAUUGUUGAAAGGGAAGCGUUUAUGACCAGACUUGGGCUUGGUUAAUCAUCUGGGGUUCUCCCCAGUGCACUUUUCCAGUCCAGGCCAGCAUCAGUUUUCCCCGGGGGAUAAAGGCGGCGGGAAUGUGGCUCUCUUCGGGGAGUGUUAUAGCCCACCGUGUAAUACCCUG